This 255-nucleotide ribosomal RNA is filed under the name uncultured bacterium. Its description in RNAcentral is "partial small subunit ribosomal RNA". It matches the Rfam family "Bacterial small subunit ribosomal RNA", at positions 26 to 285 of the family's 1533-position model. The record is from RNAcentral.
AGGACGAACGCUGGCGGCGUGCUUAACACAUGCAAGUCGAACGAUGAUCCGGUUUCGGCCGGGGAUUAGUGGCGAACGGGUGAGUAACACGUGGGCAACCUGCCCUCCACUCUGGGAUAACUCCGGGAAACCGGGGCUAAUACUGGAUAUGAUCUUCGGGCGCAUGCCUGGGGGUGGAAAGUUUUCGGUGGAGGAUGGGCCCGCGGCCUAUCAGCUUGUUGGUGGGGUGAUGGCCUACCAAGGCGGUGACGGGUA